Molecule: long non-coding RNA, 2018 nt
Organism: Pseudophryne corroboree (corroboree frog)
Lineage: Eukaryota; Metazoa; Chordata; Amphibia; Anura; Myobatrachidae
Exons: 2
Source: RefSeq, a predicted model, not a curated record
UUCAACAACAUCUGGGGUGUCAAGGUUAGCCAUCACUGCCCUAAGCUGCAGCAUGAUUGACAUGUGGCAAUGACAGAGCAAUACAGAAAACGGGGUGUGUUGGCCCCAUUUUCUUGGCACGCUAAGGCCAGUUGCUCUCUCCUUGUAUGCAGCUUCACUGGCUCCAGUGAAACACCGGGCAUCCUGAGUAACCUCAAGGUUCACACAGAGGGUGCAGAUGCCAUGUCUGUUCAUGCAGCAGCGAUCACAGACGGUGGCAGGAGAUGUCUAUUUAUAUGAGACGCCUAGUGCAGUAUUAGCAUAUUAUCACACAGCCGCUGUGUACAAAGAGGGUUACCCAAUCAUAAAUUGUUUCCUUGCCUUAUUUAAUGGCGCAAAUGUAGUAAUUAAUUCAUUACUAGUAACUUUCUCUUUCUUGAUUUUGCCACAAAAGCUUCACUAGAUCUUCUGCCUUUGUUAUAAAUAUGAUUGUUUUAACCCUUGUUUUGCUUUGCAUGGAAAGAUCACCGCUCACUGUGCUGAAAUGAAUUAAAUGUUCCUCUCCUGUGUAAGCAAUAAGUUCCUGUGAAACAGAGACAUCUCCAGCAGCUAUCUCCCUAUCUAUGGGCUUUGGGCAGUCAACUGUGGACAUACAGUGCUAGCAAGGUGCAUCAGGAGCUCAAAUCAAGAAACAAGAUAAAGAAGAAGAGGAAAGAAAAGAUACGGAAAGAGGUAGAGGAGAAAAAGAAAAGGGAAAGGAGAAGAACCAGAAUCAGAAUCACCUGGUCCAAAGCGCGAGUCUCUUGCCUACUACACAACAGGAAGCAGUACGUUUAGGUGGGGAAAUGUCUAAGAGGACGUGGAAAAACUGGAGGCGAGGAUGGACCUAGAGGUUGGGGAAUCUUUAAAAAGUAGCCAUCGAACCCACGUGUCCCUGAAGGAUGAAUAUCCCCCAUCAGCAGAUAUCAUUAUAUCAUCUAAGUCCAUAUAAAGAUCUACUCUAUUCAUCCAAUCCCUAACGGUUGGAGGGGAGGAGGAUCGCCAGCGGACAGGAAUCACCGCUUUGGCGGCAUUGUUGAGAUGGCAUAAUAAGGAAUGUUUAUAGCUCGAGAUGGGUUUAGACGAGUAAUGAAACAGCCAAAACAGGGGAUCUGUUGGUACCUCUUCACCCGUAAUUUCAUCAGAAAGUGAAAGUAUCUCCUUCCAGUAGGGUUGGAGUAAGGGGCACGAUCACCAUAUAUGGAGCGGGUUCCCUGGGCCAGAGGAACUAAUUAUUCCAAUUAGCAUUAUUUAGUACUUAAAGUAUUUUUUCUAAGUGGAAGUUUUUCAACAAUAUCCUAUUCUAGAUAUCCUAUUAUCAGAACAACACUUCAUUAGUAACCUUUCAAUUUCUGCUUUUUAUUGAUUACAGUAUGAACCUAGUACUGUAUUUAAAAUAAGUAUUGAUACAGCCUACAUAUCAAUGCUAUGCUAUGUUGAAAGUUUUUUUUCUGCAGAGCUUGUUGUAAAUUAAUUAUUGGUGAAAAUGAGACAAUACUCCAGAGAUGAAUAAUUAUACUGCAACGUACAGUUCCAAAUUUCUCAAGAGCCUUUAUUAACACGAGGGGUAAAUAUAAUGGAGAUAUCAGAAGUUCUGGAAAUUGUUAUGCAGAAAUUGUCUUUCCUGUGGGUUACACCUACUAGCAGGCAAAGUCGACCAUAGCGCAGGCCUGAUUAUUUGAUAAAAUCCGGAUCUCACAACAGGACUGUUAAGUGACUGCUUCAUUAUACUGGGCCUCAUCUGGCAAUACCAAUCAGCAGUCCUACACAAGUAAGUAAAGUUAUAAUCUCCUUUUAGAGCUCAACUUACUGUUAAAACUGAACUGAGGAACUAUAACCUCCAGCAUUACUAAAGACUCGUCUAUUGGAGUUGAACUAUUCUUAGUUCAGAUUUACCAAUAUGCUACAUUAACUAUUUGGACUUCUGCUGAUCUUGAAGGGUAUCAUCCAUUUAUUGUGUUUACCUAUCAAUAUUAAAUUUUUUAUGAGAAUAUUAAAUA